CCAGGCAUGAUGGAGGGUAUCUUGCUUUGAGGUGGUUUAGCGUCCCACUUGUUCCUUGAGGACAUCUGUUACUACCUAAGAGCACUCACCUGAAGGAGAUGCUCAAAGGUCCAGAAGGGACACGUCUCGGGUGACAAAGCAGGUGGCGAUCAGAGAACAGAGACCCCUAAAGAAUUUUAUGGCAUUCAAGGCAAAGCACAGCCAGCCCGGAGGGAAAGCAAGAGUACAGCCUGGAAAUACAUAGCCCUGCCUGAAACGUAUCUCUAAAGAAAAACAAUGGGCUUAGGCAGUAGCCAGCCUAGUACAAAGGAAGCCGAGCCCUGCACACUUCAAGAGAAAGAGGAACAUCCUGUUGAUGACACCAGACAGGUAA
RNAcentral lists this long non-coding RNA (373 nucleotides) under Rattus norvegicus (Norway rat). RNAcentral's name for it is "long non-coding RNA NONRATT012912". Lineage: Eukaryota; Metazoa; Chordata; Mammalia; Rodentia; Muridae. The record is from RNAcentral.